RNAcentral lists this ribosomal RNA (476 nucleotides) under uncultured soil bacterium. RNAcentral's name for it is "bacterial SSU rRNA". It matches the Rfam family "Bacterial small subunit ribosomal RNA", at positions 26 to 518 of the family's 1533-position model. The record is from RNAcentral.
AGGACGAACGCUGGCGGCGUGCUUAACGCAUGCAAGUCGAGCGGUAAGGCCUUUCGGGGUACACGAGCGGCGAACGGGUGAGUAACACGUGGGUGAUCUGCCCUGCACUCUGGGAUAAGCCUGGGAAACUGGGUCUAAUACCGGAUAUGACCUGCUCUCGCAUGGGGGGUGGGUGGAAAGAUUUAUCGGUGCAGGAUGGGCCCGCGGCCUAUCAGCUUGUUGGUGGGGUAAUGGCCUACCAAGGCGACGACGGGUAGCCGACCUGAGAGGGUGACCGGCCACACUGGGACUGAGACACGGCCCAGACUCCUACGGGAGGCAGCAGUGGGGAAUAUUGCACAAUGGGCGAAAGCCUGAUGCAGCGACGCCGCGUGAGGAUGAAGGCCUUCGGGUUGUAAACCUCUUUCAGCAGGACGAAGCGCAAGUGACGGUACCUGCAGAAGAAGCAACCGGCUAAACUACGUGCCAGCAGCCGC